UAGGGAAUCUUCGGCAAUGGACGAAAGUCUGACCGAGCAACGCCGCGUGAGUGAAGAAGGUUUUCGGAUCGUAAAACUCUGUUGUUAGAGAAGAACAAGGACGUUAGUAACUGAACGUCCCCUGACGGUAUCUAACCAGAAAGCCACGGCUAACUACGUGCCAGCAGCCGCGGUAAUACGUAGGUGGCAAGCGUUGUCCGGAUUUAUUGGGCGUAAAGCGAGCGCAGGCGGUUUCUUAAGUCUGAUGUGAAAGCCCCCGGCUCAACCGGGGAGGGUCAUUGGAAGCUGGGAGGCUUGAGUGCAGAAGAGGGGAGUGGAAUUCCAUGUGUAGCGGUGAAAUGCGUGGAUAUAUGGAGGAACACCAGUGGCGAAGGCGGCUCUCUGGUCUGUAACUGAAGCUGAGGCUGGAAAGCGUGGGGAGCAAACAGG
This 429-nucleotide ribosomal RNA is filed under the name Gemmatimonadota bacterium. Its description in RNAcentral is "Gemmatimonadetes bacterium partial 16S ribosomal RNA". It matches the Rfam family "Bacterial small subunit ribosomal RNA", at positions 355 to 776 of the family's 1533-position model. Lineage: Bacteria; Pseudomonadati; Gemmatimonadota. The record is from RNAcentral.